UUAUGAAAUUUUCGAGUAGAAAUUUUUUUGAAUUUUUUUUUUCGAUUUUUUAUUAUUUAUCUUAUUUAAAGCAUUAUUUGAGUGAAAAGAAGCUUAUUGCAUUCGGUUGGCAUUAAAAUAAAUCAAUUUUUAAUAUUUUGAAAAUUACUCCAAAAAAUUAAGGCUACAGCCUUUUGAAAUUUUCAAAUUUUUAAAAUGUUUUUAUUUUUUUAUAUUUUUUAUAACGACGGCUGGAAAAUGAAUUAUAGAAGAAGGUUUAUUGAAUGAAAAUGAUGAGAUAGACAAGCUGUUCGAACUUUGCAAUAAAUUAUCGCAUUUUUUGCAUAAUAAAGUGAUCAGUUCAGCAAUUGGCGCUAAGUAAAGUGUUGUCGGUUGCAUUCAACUGACCAGGAAAAAAUAUUCUACUCAGCAAAACUCCACACCAUUUGUUAGAUGCAAGGGGAAAACAAAACAACACCCCAAAUCUAUCCGUAUGGCGACCACAGCAAGGAUGCGGUUAAACCGGUGGCAAAUAAAAGGAUUUACCCUCGUUUAAUUUUUCCCCUGUUCGCCUAACUAGCUAUUGCAUGUAAAACCACCUUCGAACCAAAGACAAAUAAUGUAACUUGUGCAACAGGGCAAGACGGAAAAAAAGGAAAACAAAAGCAAACCGAACACAGAUGGAACUCAUCCAACCAACCUCCGACCGGGUCAUAUGGUCUGGGAGCAGAGUGUGCCUGGAAAGUGGACCAACCAGUGGUAUCGUUAGCGCUUCCACUAUUGUACUGCCGCUUUACCGUCAAUUGUCUUGCGACGCACACGGAGAAUGCAUUGGGGCGCAACAAAGCUGCUGCUGCUGCUGCUGGUGUCGCUGCAAUAAUGCACGUAAUUGCAUUUAAUUAGCUGCAACAGGAGUCGAUUGUGACGGAAUCGAAAAAGCAAACAAAAAAGGAAGUAAAAUAGUGCGUGUGAUGCUAGUGCUUUUAAUUGAAUCCUUUCUCAGUUUUUUUGUCUUUCCUUGUAGAGUGGAUCAGGGCUGUCAAACCAAGGAAUGCUCUAGGAGGUUUAGUUGUCAUACACACAAUAGCCGUUUUUCCGAUGUACCCGUCGAUCAUUCAAUAUUCUGAAUAAUACCGCAGGAGACAACAACCCUCCAGGAAAAGGAUAUCUAAGGAUGUACAAACAUUAACGGUGCGGUUUAUAAUAGCAGAUUAGCUACAGCAAUCGAGAUGGGUAUGUGUAUUUUUUUUUGUGUUCUCAAAGUUCCUUGCGAUAUUUGUUCUUUCCUUGGUUUUCUGAAGUUGCUACAUAAAAGAUCCUUUCUGCACUCGAUAUGCCUUGCCCCCGGAACGAAAUUGAUCACGCACGCAGCUGAUAGAUCACUUGAUUUCCGUACAAUACGCUCCGGUGUAAGCUGUCAGUGCAUCGGAUUCACAUUUGAACACCGUACGGCUAUAAUCGAUAAUAGACAUCUGCACACAAAUUGUUGCACAAUAAAACCGAUCGGUUGCUUCCGUCCGUGGGGAAAUAUACCAAUUCGGUGCAAUAAAAUUAACACGAACGAACAACAAACGAACAACAAACGGCGCAUUACAACACAACUAAACACACAAAACUCAUCUAUCAUCAAACAUCAGGGCUGCCAAAGAUAGAGAAAGGGGAACGAAAAAAACAACAGAGAAACAACAGAGAAGGGAGUGGAAGCGAGGGGAAAAGGGAUACAGAAACUACAAAUCCGUAAAGUUAUAAAAGAUGAAAGCAAAAUUGUGUCGUAAAUUAAUAAUCACACACAGAAACAUACAGCCACACGAACCUUUCGUCUUUUCUAAGCGGCAUGAAAAUGCGGUAGAAUGGGCGUGAAAUGGUGACCCGUCCCGAACAAGGCGGAAGAGGGCGGGAAAUGGGCUAACGCGAACAAAAGUGGAAAGGUGGGAAGUAAGUUAAAGGCAUGACUCUCAACUUUUCGGUACACCAAGCACCUCAAUGCUGGUGUGCCGUGGUUCUGAAGCGCGUGGCAUAGAAGAAGCUUGCUCUACGGACAGUGGUCGGCAAGUCUUUUUAGCCCACGAUAGCAGAAUACUGGUUGUGGAGAUAAGAAUAUUUACAAACUUCAGGUCAUUAAAGUUCUACCCAACUUCAAUAUCUCUUAAAUACUCUCAUCGUCCGGGAUUGAGCAUCUUCAAGAAGAUUAGUUAUUAUAUUGUACGUAAUUAUAAUUUAACUACAUUAAAGUCUCUCUAAGAUGCACACCGACGGGACUGUCAUCUUAAGGAGAUCUCCAGCUUAGAGUAUUAAACAAGUCAUAAACUGACGUUAACUCAACUCUGUUUGAGAAUGCCAUCUUGGAGAGGUUUUGCAUCUUAAAGAGACAUAAAUUAUAUGGAAAACGAUAGUCAAAAAUGUUCAUAUUAGAGAAACUUUCUUCCUAUUUCAAUGUAUUUCAUUUUGAACGAUUUAAAUAUCUCACAGACGACUUACUUAUCUCUCAACUUUUCUUUUCUUUUACUUCUCAGGAACGACCAGCCCGUCUUCGCUCAGGGUCGAGCAUGUCCACACGGCCAAGUCUCCAACUCGCUUCCAGGAAACUCAGUCCGGGGCUGCAGUCCUCCAUCCACGGCUGCAUCCGAUCUCCGACUGGUUCGACUCCACCUGAUCCAGCCAACGAGCUUGCUGUGCUCCGACGACGUCUCGUGCCGAACGGGUCGCUGACGAACACCUUCCUGGUGGGGCAUGGGUCCGGCAUCCUCAUCACGUGCCCCAGCCAUCCUGUCCUUCCGGCAUUGGCCACCAUCAGGAUAUCUGAUAUCACACCGCCAAAGAUAGUGCUCAACACCUGCCGAUCGAACAUAGCGAGUGCAUUGGCAUCCUCCGUUAGCAGAGUCCACUACUCGUACCCGUAAACGACUACCGGACGUAUCAGUGUGCGAUAUAUCGUACACUUCGUGUGUUGCUGGAGCCUUCUGACUAGCCUUGGACCAGCCCGUAUUGAGACAUAGUUUUACCACGUAGCCAGAUACUCCGUGCUUGCUGUGGGGAACGUUCCGGAUGGGAUUUGAUACCCGGUCCUGUCCGCGUGGACCGGCGUCGUAUAUGAACUCUUCUUUAGGCAACAGGGUUGCGCCACCGGGCGCAUGAAAUAUUUCAUUAAAUAUAUGUACCUCUGUUUUUAGGUAAUAACUUAAGUAUUAAUUAUUGCACAAGUAUGCAAAGUAUUUGAAAAAGA
Molecule: long non-coding RNA, 3202 nt
Organism: Anopheles funestus (African malaria mosquito)
Lineage: Eukaryota; Metazoa; Arthropoda; Insecta; Diptera; Culicidae
Exons: 3
Source: RefSeq, a predicted model, not a curated record